GCUGAUCAAGCAACAGAGAAUUAGCAUUGGUUAAUUUAUUCAACUCGAAUUACAUAUUUUCAUACUUGCACCUCACAUGCUAACAAAAGCCAGAGCAUACCUGGUUACAUCAACACACAAUGAGAAAAUGAGCAGAAGUUUAAGAAGAAACAAUAGCAUCAGAUCUGAUUCAGUAAAUCAACAACAAAACAAACAUGAAAACCAAUUUCUGACUCGAAAAAUAACCCCAUAAAUCCUUUGUAACUUUCAGAUAAUAGAACCAACAAGAAAACUGGACCAAUUUCCAACAGGAAUGACAAUGUAUUUCAGUGUUUUGAAGACUCAGCCAUUUUCAAUUUUUUCAGGAUUUUAA
This 352-nucleotide long non-coding RNA is filed under the name Nicotiana benthamiana. RNAcentral describes it as "long non-coding RNA (NBEN_LNC041048)". The record is from RNAcentral. Lineage: Eukaryota; Viridiplantae; Streptophyta; Magnoliopsida; Solanales; Solanaceae.